This 261-nucleotide ribosomal RNA is filed under the name uncultured archaeon. RNAcentral's name for it is "partial 16S ribosomal RNA". It matches the Rfam family "Archaeal small subunit ribosomal RNA", at positions 748 to 1008 of the family's 1478-position model. The record is from RNAcentral.
CAGCCGUAAACUAUGCGCGUUAGGUGUAUCGGUGACCACGAGUUACCGAGGUGCCGAAGGGAAACCGUGAAACGUGCCGCCUGGGAAGUACGGUCGCAGGGCUGAAACUUAAAGGAAUUGGCGGGGGAGCACCACAACAGGUGGAGCCUGCGGUUUAAUUGGACUCAACGCCGGGAAGCUCACCGGAUAGGACAGCAGAAUGAUUGCCGGGCUGAAGACCCUGCAUGACUAGCUGAGAGGAGGUGCAUGGCGUCAGUGACU